UCCUCCGCCUCCGUCGCCUAUUCGCCUCUCCCACUCUCUGCCCCCGCCUCCCCUCCUUCUCUCCCUCCCCCGCAUGCCUCAACUGCUCCUCUCCGGCGUCGUAGCCGUCCCUCUCGCUCCCGUGACAUCCAGAUCUGACUUGGGGGCGCAGCUCAGAGUGCCAAUGCGCCGCAACCUCCGUUGCGCCCGCACGUGCCCUAGCCAGUCGCCAUGGAGCUCAUCCCCAUCAAGCCCGAGGUAGGAUCUCUCGUCGAGAUUGGAUAGGAGCUCCGAACGCGAGCCAUAGACGGGGAGUUGAUGCCACCGGGCAAUGGAUGGUCGCAUCCUCAGGACCUCCGCGUGCAACAGCAGCGGCUAUCAUUUUUCUCAUCGCCUACUUCAAUAGCCUACAGCAUUAGCAGUACCGUGCUUUUUACUUCACAAGAAAAGGUUGGCCGAGGUCCCUGCUCUAGCGCAAGGAUUUCUACUGCAACGAUUGCAACACACACAGGAACUUUUUUGAAACCUUCAAGCUUCAACGCUUGACCCUUUGCAUUGGUGGCAUAGUGAAUAUUGAACUACUGGAGAGAAUACAAAAACAAUUUACGGAUGAUAGGUACUACAUAUGGCAGAUGAGGCAACUGGCCAUGGCAUAUAUGUUGCUUCGACCUGUGCAGUUUAUGGAUGAAGACGAAGCUGACCUGCAGAUGUAAACUUUGUUUUCUAUGGACCAGGUCUUGUAUAUCCAAAUUGAACGGAUUGUUCUAAUAAAUAUAUCACAAAAAGAUAAAGUAUAAUAUUUGUUCUUGUGCGUUGUUGCAAUGAAUUUUAGUGAGGUAAUACGAACUUAUAUCCAUUUUUCAAAUAUAUUCUAGGUUCUAACCAACUGGUCCAAAAUGUCACAUUGAUUGAUAUGUGGAUUUUUAUACUUCAGAA
Zea mays is the source of this 915-nucleotide RNA transcript. It is a transcript of the gene named protein-like pseudogene, with no coding region annotated. The transcript has 6 exons. The record is from RefSeq and is marked validated. Lineage: Eukaryota; Viridiplantae; Streptophyta; Magnoliopsida; Poales; Poaceae.